UAUUAUUAUUAUUAUUAUUAUUAUUAUUAUUUGUGAGCAGGGAAAGCUUUGGUUUCUCCAAUUGAGAGAUAUGCAGUUGUUCCUGAUGACAACGUCAAAAGGAUAAAUUUUGCCGAGGGGAAGAUCUGAUUCUAGAAGUAAGGAAUUUGCAGCUUGAUUUUUGAAAUAGGCCCAAAAUUGAAAUCUUGUUGGAAAUUUUUUAUUUUUUUAUUUUUUGUAAGAGCAUUUAAAUAUCCAAUGUGCUUAUUGGUGAAUUUUAGAUUUUAUUUUAUUAUUUUAUUUUUUUUUAGGAUUUGGGUGAAUUUUAUAAUUUAAAUAUGCUUUUAUGAACA
Non-coding RNA from Camellia sinensis, 332 nucleotides. NCBI's taxonomy places the organism in Eukaryota, Viridiplantae, Streptophyta, Magnoliopsida, Ericales, Theaceae. The record is from RefSeq and is a predicted model, not a curated record.